This is a long non-coding RNA of Pavo cristatus (Indian peafowl), 871 nucleotides long. The record is from Ensembl. Lineage: Eukaryota; Metazoa; Chordata; Aves; Galliformes; Phasianidae.
GAUCAGCGCUGACGCUGUGCUGGACGUUUGAAUACAUCCGUGAUUGCUGCCAGCUGCAGGCUGAGUGCCUCCUGAGUUGCUGAGGUCUCCUGUGUCCACUUCUGUUGCCUGAUGGUAAUCUGCAGGAAAGGCAUGGCAGGAUUUUACAAAUGAGGAAGCAGUGUCGUGGCAGAGGGGUGCAUCACUGCUAUCCCACCUCAGCACCAAGCAGAGCCAGCUGAACACUGCCAGCAAUGCCUAUGGCACAUGGCUUGUGUGCUGGGCAGGACUCAGACUUCUUGCUGGCCACAGGGAUUUUCCAAGCUUACCAGUUAGAUCUUCCUAACGAGGAGCAGGGAGAAGCGGAGCACAUGGAUUUCUAAACACGCUGGGAUUUUAUACAGCUACAAAAAUAAGAACGACAACAGAACCUGACCCUACCGAAAGCAGUCAAAUGAAUCGUAAUUGCAGAUCAAUGCAGAGAAAUGGGGAAACUUCACUCGAAGCAUGGUUAGUUCCUUUCACUUGCUACUUCCUUAGCCCUUUCCCCUUAUUCGGAUUUUACUUGGUUUGUUGCUGUGAUUUUAUACUGGUGUCUAACGAUCUUCCUUUAUUAUUUUCCUCACACACUUUCCUCUGGAUCUGCCUAGCCGCCGUUUGUAAACCCAGAGAAAGUCCGGAAGGUGAUAGUUUUGCGGUGAACGCCUCUCUGGCUCGCAAAGGGCUGGAGGACUGGAUGGUGAAGCAGAAAUACUCCGGGGGCAGCGGCAGCAGCAGCGGAGGCAGCAGCUCGGGACUCCAGGGCUGCCAGCACCGGACUGCUUGCGGGCUCUCCAGCGGCAGGGCUAACGGUUACUGGUGGACAGUUCUUCUGUGUCAACAGAUGCUAUGA